AAUCAACGCUGGCGGCGUGCCUCAGACAUGCAAGUCGAACGAUUAAAGCUCUCUUCGGAGAGUGUAUAGAGUGGCGCACGGGUGAGUAACACGUAAGUAAUCUACCUUCGAGUGGGGAAUAACACCGAGAAAUCGGUGCUAAUACCGCAUAAUGCAGCGGCAUCGCAAGAUGACAGUUGUUAAAGAAUUUAUUCGCUUGAAGAGGAGCUUGCGGCAGAUUAGCUAGUUGGUAAGGUAAUGGCUUACCAAGGCUACGAUCUGUAACCGGUCUAAGGAGGACGGUCGGUCACAC
This 292-nucleotide ribosomal RNA is filed under the name uncultured bacterium. Its description in RNAcentral is "partial 16S ribosomal RNA". It matches the Rfam family "Bacterial small subunit ribosomal RNA", at positions 32 to 313 of the family's 1533-position model. The record is from RNAcentral.